RNAcentral lists this long non-coding RNA (434 nucleotides) under Nicotiana tabacum (common tobacco). RNAcentral's name for it is "long non-coding RNA (NTAB_LNC016451)". The record is from RNAcentral. Lineage: Eukaryota; Viridiplantae; Streptophyta; Magnoliopsida; Solanales; Solanaceae.
CAAUCCCUAGUUGAGAUUUUAGAUGUAGGGCCUCCAUUCCCUAGUCGCCUUUUGCCAACAUAGGCUCCAAUCUCUAGUUGAGAUUUUAGACAUAGGGCCCCAUUCCCUAGUCACCUUUUGCCAACAUAGGGCUCCAAUCCCUAGUUGAGAUUUUUCAACAUAGGGGAUCCAUUAUCUAGUCCCUUUUCUCCAACAUAGGGCUCCAAUCCCUAGUUGAGAUUUUUCGACAUAGAGCCUCCAUUCCCUAGUCGCCUUUUGCCAACAUAGGGCUCAAAUCCCUAGUUGAGAUUUUUAGACAUAGGGCCUCCAAUCCUUAGUCGUCUUUUGCCAACAUAGAGCAACAAUCCCUAGUGGAGAUUUUUCGACAUAGGGCCUCCAUUCCCUAGUCUACAUUUUGCCAACAUAGGGCUCCAAUCCCUAGUUGAGAUUUUGAC